This is a long non-coding RNA of Sapajus apella (tufted capuchin), 313 nucleotides long. RefSeq lists it as uncharacterized. The record is from RefSeq and is a predicted model, not a curated record. The transcript is spliced from 3 exons. Lineage: Eukaryota; Metazoa; Chordata; Mammalia; Primates; Cebidae.
UGUGGGGGGUGUAGGGGGCGCUGAGGGGGGGCAGCAACCCGGGCAAGGGAAGGUCGACCUCUGGAAGUGGAACGCGGGUCUCCACGCAGAUUCCUGUCCAGUGACUGUGGAACGCUGUGGAGGAGACAGAUAUUUGUCAGCGAAACUGAGUUAGGAAAGGAUGAAGAGAGCUGAGGAAAUCAGUCACGCAUGCUAACGUAGAGGCUGCAAAUAGAGAACAGUCUGCAAAAACUUGACAAUCACAUAAAGCAUGCUUUCUGGGAAUGGCACCAAGAUACUAACUAAUAUCCAGCCCUAAAUAUGAAUACGCCAG